UACGUAGGGGGCAAGCGUUGUCCGGAUUUAUUGGGCGUAAAGAGCGUGUAGGCGGCCUGAAAGGUCAGCUGUGAAAACUCGAGGCUCAACCUCGAGACGUCGGUUGAAACCAUCUGACUAGAGUCCGGAAGAGGAGAGUGGAAUUCCUGGUGUAGCGGUGAAAUGCGCAGAUAUCAGGAAGAACACCCGUGGCUAAGGCGGCUCUCUAGUACGGUACUGACGCUGAGACGCGAAAGCGUGGGGAGCGAACAGG
This 253-nucleotide ribosomal RNA is filed under the name uncultured bacterium. RNAcentral describes it as "partial 16S ribosomal RNA". It matches the Rfam family "Bacterial small subunit ribosomal RNA", at positions 524 to 776 of the family's 1533-position model. The record is from RNAcentral.